GGCACUGCCCGGUAGCUAAAUGCGGAAGAGAUAAGUGCUGAAAGCAUCUAAGCACGAAACUUGCCCCGAGAUGAGUUCUCCCUGAGACUUUAAGUCUCCUGAAGGAACGUUAAAGACGAUGACGUUGAUAGGCCGGGUGUGUAAGCGCAGCGAUGCGUUGAGCUAACCGGUACUAAUGAACCGUGAGGCUUAACCUUACAA
Molecule: ribosomal RNA, 201 nt
Filed under: Klebsiella pneumoniae
Lineage: Bacteria; Pseudomonadati; Pseudomonadota; Gammaproteobacteria; Enterobacterales; Enterobacteriaceae
Description: partial 23S ribosomal RNA
Rfam family: Bacterial large subunit ribosomal RNA
Source: RNAcentral